UAGGGAAUCUUCCGCAAUGGACGAAAGUCUGACGGAGCAACGCCGCGUGAGUGAAGAAGGAUUUCGGUUCGUAAAACUCUGUUGUUAGGGAAGAAAAAAUGUAUAGUAACUAUAUACAAAAGAGACGGUACCUAACCAGAAAGCCACGGCUAACUACGUGCCAGCAGCCGCGGUAAUACGUAGGUGGCAAGCGUUGUCCGGAAUUAUUGGGCGUAAAGCGCGCGCAGGUGGUUUAGAAAGUCUGAUGUGAAAGCCCACGGCUCAACCGUGGAGGGUCAUUGGAAACUAAUAAACUUGAGUGCAGGAGAGAAAAGUGGAAUUCCUAGUGUAGCGGUGAAAUACGUAGAGAUUAGGAGGAACACCGGUGGCGAAAGCGGCUUUUUGGCCUGCAACUGACACUGAGGCGCGAAAGCGUGGGGAGCAAACAGG
RNAcentral lists this ribosomal RNA (429 nucleotides) under Verrucomicrobiota bacterium. RNAcentral describes it as "Verrucomicrobia bacterium partial 16S ribosomal RNA". It matches the Rfam family "Bacterial small subunit ribosomal RNA", at positions 355 to 776 of the family's 1533-position model. Lineage: Bacteria; Pseudomonadati; Verrucomicrobiota. The record is from RNAcentral.